GUAUGGAGCAAGCGUUAUCCGGAUUUACUGGGUGUAAAGGGUGCGUAGGUGGCAGUGCAAGUCAGAUGUGAAAGGCCGGGGCUCAACCCCGGAGCUGCAUUUGAAACUGCUCGGCUAGAGUACAGGAGAGGCAGGCGGAAUUCCUAGUGUAGCGGUGAAAUGCGUAGAGAUGGGGAGGAACACCAGUGGCGAAGGCGGCCUGCUGGGCUUUAACUGACGCUGAGGCACGAAAGCGUGGGUAGCAAACAGGAUUAGAUACCCUGGUAGUCCACGCUGUAAACGAUGAUUACUAGGUGUGGGGGGUCUGAUCCCUUCCGUGCCGGAGUUAACACAAUAAGUAAUCCACCUGGGGAGU
This 355-nucleotide ribosomal RNA is filed under the name uncultured bacterium. Its description in RNAcentral is "bacterial SSU rRNA". It matches the Rfam family "Bacterial small subunit ribosomal RNA", at positions 527 to 881 of the family's 1533-position model. The record is from RNAcentral.